This is a long non-coding RNA of Pungitius pungitius (ninespine stickleback), 1591 nucleotides long. RefSeq lists it as uncharacterized. Lineage: Eukaryota; Metazoa; Chordata; Actinopteri; Perciformes; Gasterosteidae. The transcript has 2 exons. The record is from RefSeq and is a predicted model, not a curated record.
GGGAGAGCGCAUGAGGAAGUUGUGUUGUUGUUGUGAUGACGGAGUGGAUGUAGCGGCCGGAGAAUUGUCUGUACUGUAACUUUGUUACUCAGUGUUAGAUUAAUAAAUCCUCAAAGAAAGUAAAGCGGACUUUUAUUCACCAACCCCGGGACGAAGGGAAUUAACCCCAAAGUUUACUUAGCCGACAGUACUUUGGCCCUGGAGCAGACAGCAACGCCUCCCCCUGCAAACUCCGACUACGGUCAGAGACGGACCGGCAGGAAAGGUGAACACAAGGCUAACGAAGUUAAUUGUCAACAUUAAUGUGCCUGUCAUGGUAUGAGGCCAGACGUGAGUUGUGUUCUACAUUCAAGAGGGUUUUUAUUUAGCACUGAACAAUAACAACCAGCAUACGUCUUUUAGCUAAGCUAACUACGGUAGCUUCACGGGGAUAAAAGACCCCUCUUCACUCUAUCAGCGCCACUUUGUUUACGUUUCCGUGUGCCCUAAAUAACUUGGCCCGAUUGAAUCACUUUAUUUACACACUUUGAGUAGAACCGUGCUCGCAGCAGCUAACUUAACUACUUUGUUGUUUAACUUCAUUGUCUAUAAUCUGCCCGCAGCGUGCAGCCGGGCGCAGCUAAAUGACACGUAAUGUAUUGUGCGUCUUCAAUGCUUUUCAAUAUGUUAUAUAUUUAUUGCCUUCACAAUGAGCAUGAAUCUAACAUUAAAUGAUAUGAUUAAUAUGCCCCUCAUUCCAAAGAAAUAAUAUACACACGUCAAGCUCAUUAUGGAGUUGAAACAACAAAUUACUAAACUGUAAACAGUUAAUAUAAGAGAAAAAAAUAUUGUAAUCAAGAUAAAUGUUUUCAAAACGUGUGAUUAACUAGUUAAUUGUCUAUAAUCUGUUGACAGCCAUAAUCGUAUUCUGAUAAUACACGUUGGUGCUCAAAUAUUUUCAGAUGGCCCGUGCAAAGUCAUGCCACCAGUCUGAGGACAUCACUGGGAAUGGCACAUGGGACACGUGGCUUUCAACUCCAGCGAGGUGGGCUUCACCGCGGGCAAUCGUGGCAAAGACCCAAGUCGACUGGACCACAGCGGAAAAUGAUCCUUCCAGAGAAGAAGUUAUUUACUUCUACAACGAAUGGAAGAGUUACAACUUCCAGAUGACAGCUCGCCGCUCAUCCUUCUGGGCAACUUGAACAUCCGACAGAACUUAUGUGACCUACUGCGUUUAUUUUCUCCUUUAGCUCUCACUAACUCUAACUUGCCCCAGCACCUGUUGUGAUUUAUUCUAGCGCUUCCACAAUUGAAUUUUGCUUGGUAUUUCAUCUAACUUGCCCCAGCACCUGUUGUGAUUUAUUCUAGCGCUUCCACAAUUGAAUUUUGCUUGUUAUUUUAUCUAACUUGCCCCAGCACCUGUUGUGAUUAAUUCUCUCUCACGGUGUCAAGUGUGUACCUUGAUCUUUUUUUUGCUCAUUGCAGCCCUUCUCUGCAAGGAGUGCUAACAAUGCAUGGUGCUGUUCAUUAAGCAACUGGGUAAAGAGCUUGUAAUGCCACAUAUGAAAAAGCUCAUAAGCUCAUUUAUAAUAAAAUAAUAUAUAUAAUCUUG